GGCUUCACGCCGGAUGUACGGAUUACGUUGAUGGUGUAAAAUAAGGAAAGCCUUGUUUCCUGAAGUCA
RNAcentral lists this transfer RNA (68 nucleotides) under Notospermus geniculatus. RNAcentral's name for it is "tRNA-Ile". Lineage: Eukaryota; Metazoa; Nemertea; Pilidiophora; Heteronemertea; Lineidae. The record is from RNAcentral.